UUUUUAUUAGAAGAACCUUCCCAAGUCUUGACAUCCUUGUGACCGUCCAGUAAAGGGUCUUUCUCUUCGGAACAGGGAAGACAGGUGGUGCAGGGUCGUGGUCAUCUUCAGUUGUGAGAUGUUGGGUUAAGUCCAGCAACGAGCGCAACCCCUAUCCUUAGUAGCCGGCGGUUCGGAUGGGCACUCUAGGGAGACUGCCAGGGAUAACCUGGAGGAAGGUGGGGAUGACGUCAAAUCAUCAUGCCCCUUAUGACUUGGGCUACACACGUGCUACAAUGGCGUAAACAAAGGGAAGCCAACCCGUGAGGCGGAGCAAAUCCCAAAAAUAACGUCUCAGUUCGGAUUGUAGUCUGCAACUCGACUACAUGAAGCUGGAAUCGCUAGUAAUCGCGGAUCAGCAAUGUCAGUUGUUUCC
Molecule: ribosomal RNA, 415 nt
Filed under: uncultured bacterium
Lineage: Bacteria
Description: bacterial SSU rRNA
Rfam family: Bacterial small subunit ribosomal RNA
Source: RNAcentral